UACGGAGGAUGCAAGCGUUAUCCGGAAUGAUUGGGCGUAAAGCGUCCGCAGGUGGCUAUGUAAGUCUGCUGUUAAAGCGUCUAGCUCAACUAGAUAAAAGCAGUGGAAACUACAAGGCUAGAGUGCGUUCGGGGCAGAGGGAAUUCCUGGUGUAGCGGUGAAAUGCGUAGAGAUCAGGAAGAACACCGGUGGCGAAGGCGCUCUGCUAGGCCGCAACUGACACUGAGGGACGAAAGCUAGGGGAGCGAAUGGG
This 253-nucleotide ribosomal RNA is filed under the name uncultured bacterium. Its description in RNAcentral is "partial 16S ribosomal RNA". It matches the Rfam family "Bacterial small subunit ribosomal RNA", at positions 524 to 776 of the family's 1533-position model. The record is from RNAcentral.